Non-coding RNA from Sturnus vulgaris (Common starling), 134 nucleotides. Lineage: Eukaryota; Metazoa; Chordata; Aves; Passeriformes; Sturnidae. The record is from RefSeq and is a predicted model, not a curated record.
AGGGAGGAGCCCCCGGGGAGGGGGAAGGGACAGAUCUUUCAGUCUCCUCCCAAAAUUCGGAGCAGCCCGAAAUCGUGGGAGCCUCGGAGCCGAGUGAAGACCCCGCCCUGCUCAGCGCCGCCAACGCCCCCCCC